GCCCCCUCUUCCUCUGUUACGUCACUGCGUGUGUUCCGUCGUGAGUGAAUACAAUUGUGAUCACAAUAUCCGGUUUGAUCCGGUUAGAAUCUCUCCUGCUAGUAUGGCCAUAGCUACUUGAAAUUAUAACACAUUCCUAUUACCUGUUUCUUAUUUCAAUUAAGCUCAGUGCUGAACAACAGCUCGCGGUGUCUAAUCAUUCUUCAUGAAAACAU
Paramuricea clavata is the source of this 215-nucleotide non-coding RNA. NCBI's taxonomy places the organism in Eukaryota, Metazoa, Cnidaria, Anthozoa, Malacalcyonacea, Plexauridae. The record is from the annotation of a GenBank genome assembly.